RNAcentral lists this ribosomal RNA (487 nucleotides) under uncultured bacterium. RNAcentral's name for it is "partial 16S ribosomal RNA". It matches the Rfam family "Bacterial small subunit ribosomal RNA", at positions 30 to 504 of the family's 1533-position model. The record is from RNAcentral.
AUUGAACGCUGGCGGCAUGCCUUACACAUGCAAGUCGAACGGCAGCAUGAUCUAGCUUGCUAGAUUGAUGGCGAGUGGCGAACGGGUGAGUAAUACAUCGGAACGUGCCCUGUAGUGGGGGAUAACUAGUCGAAAGAUUAGCUAAUACCGCAUACGACCUGAGGGUGAAAGUGGGGGACCGCAAGGCCUCAUGCUAUAGGAGCGGCCGAUGUCUGAUUAGCUAGUUGGUGAGGUAAAGGCUCACCAAGGCGACGAUCAGUAGCUGGUCUGAGAGGACGAUCAGCCACACUGGGACUGAGACACGGCCCAGACUCCUACGGGAGGCAGCAGUGGGGAAUUUUGGACAAUGGGCGAAAGCCUGAUCCAGCAAUGCCGCGUGUGUGAAGAAGGCCUUCGGGUUGUAAAGCACUUUUGUCCGGAAAGAAAUGGCUCUGGUUAAUACCUGGGGUCGAUGACGGUACCGGAAGAAUAAGGACCGGCUAACUAC